RNAcentral lists this RNase P RNA (343 nucleotides) under Rhodospirillaceae bacterium. Its description in RNAcentral is "RNase P RNA component class A". It matches the Rfam family "Bacterial RNase P class A". From Rfam's summary of the family: Ribonuclease P (RNase P) is a ubiquitous endoribonuclease, found in archaea, bacteria and eukarya as well as chloroplasts and mitochondria. Its best characterised activity is the generation of mature 5'-ends of tRNAs by cleaving the 5'-leader elements of precursor-tRNAs. The record is from RNAcentral. Lineage: Bacteria; Pseudomonadati; Pseudomonadota; Alphaproteobacteria; Rhodospirillales; Rhodospirillaceae. RNAcentral also lists the same sequence under 1 other name.
GGAGUCGGCCGGGCAGUCGCCGGGAGAAAUUCCGGAGGAAAGUCCGGGCUUCAUUGGGCAGGGUGCCAGGUAACGCCUGGGGGGCGUGAGCCUACGGAAAGUGCCGCAGAAAAUAUACCGCCGGCCGCGAGGCCGGUAAGGGUGAAAUGGUGCGGUAAGAGCGCACCGCGCAGGCGGUAACGCCUGCGGCAGGGUAAACCCCACCCGAAGCAAGACCGAAUAGGGGAACGCUUGCAGUGUGCCCACACGAGUUCCCGGGUAGGUCGCUGGAGACGUUCGGUGACGUACGUCCUAGAUGAAUGGCUGCCCUCGACAGAACCCGGCUUACAGGCCGACUCCCUUC